GCACCCAUAGCUCAGCUGGAUAGAGCGCUGCCCUCCGAAGGCAGAGGUCAGAGGUUCGAAUCCUCUUGGGUGCGCCA
This 77-nucleotide transfer RNA is filed under the name Hyphomonas sp. Its description in RNAcentral is "tRNA-Arg". It matches the Rfam family "tRNA". Rfam says of the family: Transfer RNA (tRNA) molecules are approximately 80 nucleotides in length. The record is from RNAcentral. RNAcentral also lists the same sequence under 74 other names. Lineage: Bacteria; Pseudomonadati; Pseudomonadota; Alphaproteobacteria; Hyphomonadales; Hyphomonadaceae.